CCUACGGGGGGCAGCAGUGAGGAAUAUUGGUCAAUGGGCGCAAGCCUGAACCAGCCAAGUCGCGUGAGGGAAGACGGCCCUACGGGUUGUAAACCUCUUUUGCCGGGGAGCAAGCCUGAGCACGUGUGCCCAGGCGGAGAGUACCCGGAGAAAAAGCAUCGGCUAACUCCGUGCCAGCAGCCGCGGUAAUACGGAGGAUGCGAGCGUUAUCCGGAUUUAUUGGGUUUAAAGGGUGCGCAGGCGGGCUGUUAAGCCGGCGGUAAAAAUUCAGGGCUCAACCCUGUCGAGCCGUCGGAACUGGCAGCCUUGAGUGGGCGAGAAGUAUGCGGAAUGCGUGGUGUAGCGGUGAAAUGCAUAGAUAUCACGCAGAACGCCGAUUGCGAAGGCAGCAUACCGGCGCCCAACUGACGCUGAGGCACGAAAGCGUGGGGA
Molecule: ribosomal RNA, 432 nt
Filed under: uncultured bacterium
Lineage: Bacteria
Description: bacterial SSU rRNA
Rfam family: Bacterial small subunit ribosomal RNA
Source: RNAcentral